CAAAAGCUUCCAGUAUACAAUACGCAAACCAAGUUGUCCUUCGUAAUUACUGAGAGGCUUUCCGUUUCCAUGCAUUAUAACAUUUUCUUCUUGUGCUAGCAAAGAUAAUUCUGCUUCAUAAAUAGCAUUUAAAGAAGAGGAUAGUGAGUCUAAAUAUUGGAAACAACUUUGUUGGACCGAAGGAGAGGAGUGAUCAAAGGUAGCCAACCAUUUGACAUUCUUUUCAAAUAGUGGGGUAUUGCAAUUGUAAAUUGCAUCCUUAAGUAAUUUUUCUGCAACAGGAUUAUUAUAUUGCUCACCACUAGCGUUUGCAAAAGCCAAAACAACGUUGAUAUCUUUUGGAGACGCAUUUAUGGGAACAGUGAUCUAGAUACUAAUUAGUAAAACGGUUAUGUACAGGAUUUAAACUUACGUCGAUCAAAAUUAUUUUUCCAGCUAAACUGAGGACCACUUCAUUGGGUUUGGAGGAGUCUUGAAAAACCUCCAGACCAUACUUUUUAGCCAAAUAUUCAAAUCCAGUUACAGAGAUAUCAUUCCAAGGAACUGAUGAUAGACAAUCAAUCCAAUAACGCGUCCAGUUAAUCUGAUUGGGGUUAGAGGCGUUUCGACGGAAAUGAACUUCAGAAAAGAGAUGUGGUCUAUCCAUCGAAAAGAUUAUUAAAGAAGAUUUAGUAAAUUAGUCGUGUAUUUCGUAUUUAAUCAGCUUAAAACACUGUAUAUAAGCGCAAUUUUAUGUCUGUUCAGCGAGCAAUUUAAUUUGUUCUGCAAAAAGGAAGCCUUUACUGCCAUCAAACUAUUUGCUAGAAACGCAUUAAUUGCAAAAACAAGUAGGUAAUUUUGAACCGCCUAAAACUUAGUUUCAAUGGGAAGGUCUGUGUGAUUGAUUUAUCUUUAUAACGAGGGUUAAAACAGUAGUUAUGGGGAAUUUUAUAUGUAUACAAAUGAAAACCAAUUUUAAACCUUGGACUAAAAAAAACCCAAAGUAUGUUCACUCAAACUCUUUUUAAAG
Molecule: non-coding RNA, 1009 nt
Organism: Schizosaccharomyces pombe (fission yeast)
Lineage: Eukaryota; Fungi; Ascomycota; Schizosaccharomycetes; Schizosaccharomycetales; Schizosaccharomycetaceae
Source: the annotation of a GenBank genome assembly